RNAcentral lists this ribosomal RNA (1970 nucleotides) under human gut metagenome. Its description in RNAcentral is "bacterial LSU rRNA". It matches the Rfam family "Bacterial large subunit ribosomal RNA", at positions 3 to 1991 of the family's 2925-position model. The record is from RNAcentral.
UCAAGCUACAAAGGGCGCAUGGUGAAUGCCUUGGCAUCAGGAGCCGAUGAAGGACGUGAUAAGCUGCGAUAAGCUUCGGGUAGGCGCACAUAGCCAGUGAUCCGGAGAUUUCCGAAUGUGGGAACACACAUGGGAAACCCCAUGUAUCGUAUAGUGAAUACAUAGCUAUACGAGGGUAAACCUAGGGAACUGAAACAUCUAAGUACCUAGAGGAAGAGAAAGAAAAAUCGAUUUCCUAAGUAGCGGCGAGCGAAAGGGAAAGAGCCCAAACCAAAGAUUUAUCUUUGGGGUUGCGGACAGAACAUUAACGAGAAGAUGUUGUUAACCGAACAUAACUGGAAAGUUAGACCGUAGGAGGUAAUAGUCCUGUAGGUGAAAGUCAAGAUAAUCAAGUUCUGAUCCAGAGUACCACGAGACACGUGAAACCUUGUGGGAAGCAGGGAGGACCACCUCCCAAGGCUAAAUACUACCUGAUGACCGAUAGUGAAGCAGUACCGUGAGGGAAAGGUGAAAAGAACCCCGGGAGGGGAGUGAAAUAGAACCUGAAACCGUGUGCCUACAACCGGUCAAAGCCCCUUAUGAGGGUGAUGACGUGCUUUUUGUAGAACGAGCCAACGAGUUACGGUAUGUAGCAAGGUUAAGUACUUAAGGUACGGAGCCGAAGGGAAACCGAGUCUUAAUAGGGCGACUAGUUGCAUGCCGUAGACCCGAAACCGGGUGACCUAUCCAUGGCCAGGUUGAAGCGAGGGUAAAACUUCGUGGAGGACCGAACCACGUUGCUGUUGAAAAAGCAUGGGAUGAGCUGUGGAUAGCGGAGAAAUUCCAAUCGAACUCGGAGAUAGCUGGUUCUCCCCGAAAUAGCUUUAGGGCUAGCGUCGGAUAUGUGUAGUGGAGGUAGAGCACUGAAUGGGCUAGGGGGCAUAUCGCUUACCGAACCUUAUCAAACUCCGAAUGCCAUAUACAUUUAGUCCGGCAGUCAGACUACGAAUGAUAAGAUCCGUGGUCAAAAGGGAAACAGCCCAGAUCGUCAGCUAAGGUCCCAAAGUGUAAGUUAAGUGGAAAAGGAUGUGGGAUUUCUAAGACAACUAGGAUGUUGGCUUAGAAGCAGCCACUCAUUUAAAGAGUGCGUAAUAGCUCACUAGUCGAGAGAUCCUGCGCCGAAAAUGUCCGGGGCUAAAACUUACCACCGAAGCUACGGGCUUGCGUAAGCAAGCGGUAGGGGAGCGUCGUAAUCGGGCUGAAGUCGUACCGUAAGGAGCGGUGGACUGAUUACGAGUGAGAAUGUUGGCAUUAGUAGCGAGAUGUAGGUGAGAAUCCUACAGGCCGAAUAUCUAAGGUUUCCUCAGGAAGGCUCGUCCGCUGAGGGUUAGUCGGGACCUAAGCCGAGGCCGAAAGGCGUAGGCGAUGGACAACAGGUUGAUAUUCCUGUACCACUACCAUCGUUAUUAUCGAGGGUGUGACGGAGAAGGAUAGUGUGUGCUAGCGAUUGGAAAUGCUAGUCUAAGCGUUUAGGCAGUUACGGUAGGCAAAUCCGCUGUAACGUUAAUGCUGAGGCGUGAUGGGGAAGGCCCUUGAGGCUGAAGUACAUGAUUCCAUGCUUCCAAGAAAAGCAUCUAGAGAGAGAAGUAGUGCCCGUACCGCAAACCGACACAGGUAGAUGAGGAGAGAAUCCUAAGGCCGGCGGAAGAAUUGCAGUUAAGGAACUAGGCAAAUUGACCCCGUAAGUUCGCGAGAAGGGGUGCCUGCGAGAGCAGGCCGCAGAGAAUAGGCCCAAGCAACUGUUUAGCAAAAACACAGGUCUCUGCUAAAGCGCAAGCUGAUGUAUAGGGGCUGACGCCUGCCCGGUGCUGGAAGGUUAAGGGGAACACUUAGCGCAAGCGAAGGUGUGAACUUAAGCCCCAGUAAACGGCGGCCGUAACUAUAACGGUCCUAAGGUAGCGAAAUUCCUUGUCAGGUAAGUUCUGACCCGC